RNAcentral lists this ribosomal RNA (251 nucleotides) under uncultured prokaryote. Its description in RNAcentral is "partial 16S rRNA". It matches the Rfam family "Bacterial small subunit ribosomal RNA", at positions 525 to 775 of the family's 1533-position model. The record is from RNAcentral.
ACGGAGGGUGCAAGCGUUGUUCGGAAUUACUGGGCGUAAAGCGCGUGUAGGCGGACUCAGAAGUCGGGUGUGAAAGCCCCGGGCUUAACUCGGGAAGUGCGCUCGAAACCAUGGGUCUUGAGAACCGGAGGGGAUCGGGGAAUUCCCAGUGGGGGGGGGAAAGUCGGAUUUCUUGGGAGGAGCAGCGGAGGCGAAGGCACAAAAGAGGACGGUUACUGAUGUUGAUCCGGGAAAGCGUCUGUAGCAAAAAG